UGAUUUGUGUUAUUUUUUUCAGAACAUGGUCCGCGAACAUUGUUGAAAUUCUAAGGCGUAAGGUAAUGAGACAAUAAUGUAUUUUUUGUUUUUUUUUGUCAGGAUUCAAAACUAGUAAACUUGUUGGAUGCCGGUGCCCGUUAGAUACCCCGUGGAUGCGUUAUUGUUAAACCGAUCGACGCCGAUGUGAAUACUGCGUUUCCGAAAGAGUGUUUAAAAUGAUUAGCAGC
Molecule: non-coding RNA, 230 nt
Organism: Cinara cedri
Lineage: Eukaryota; Metazoa; Arthropoda; Insecta; Hemiptera; Aphididae
Source: the annotation of a GenBank genome assembly